Long non-coding RNA from Spinacia oleracea (spinach), 1301 nucleotides. RefSeq lists it as uncharacterized. The transcript has 2 exons. Lineage: Eukaryota; Viridiplantae; Streptophyta; Magnoliopsida; Caryophyllales; Amaranthaceae. The record is from RefSeq and is a predicted model, not a curated record.
GAAGAGAGAAAUUAAGAGUGGGUAAAUAAGAGUGACCCUUAUUAAUAAUCAUCAACAUUUUAAGAACCCUGACCACACAAUGACACAAGGACAUAGGACGUACUCUGUAAAAGUACAUUUUGUUCCUAAAAAUAUUUUAUGUACAAAAAAGUCAAGGAAAGAAAUCAAGACCCCAAAGUCAACAAACCCCUCCCGCCAAAACAUUAAUACUCCGCGCAAAACUCAAAAUUCAAAACCUUUUGGUGGGAAGGGUUCUGUUUUCUUUUUCAGCUGCACAUUUUAUCAAACACCUCAUGUGCAUCCAGCUCUUCUUACAGUGAAGUUUAAGGAUGCCUUAUUAUCUGACUAUUGAAUCUCCAGCCAGAACGAGGAUCGUAUAGACAGCCUUCUCCCUGGAUUUGUGUCAGUUCUUCCGUGCCCUCCGAUCAGCAGCCACCAUUUCCUCGGUCGUUGAUCGUCUCCAAAUUAAGUUUGUCCCCAAAUUCCAUAAACCCCAUGUCAUUCUCUGAAUAUUAUGAUAAAAGGGUAUGCUUCUGCUAUGGUCAAGACAUGGUCAGGUCAGGUAUGCUUCUGCUAUGGUCAGGUUUUAGAGCUCCAAACCGCGCUAGACGAUGCCCAAGAGCUCCUUAGAAGUUAGAACCCUAGCUGUGGUGACUGAAUUGUAUAGGUUGCUAAUUUUGUAGAAAGGAUAUGAUGAAGCAAUUGGGUGAUGCGAUGUGUGUUGAUAUUGGCAAAAAUGGGGAAGGUUUCAAGCAGUUUGGAAACUUUGGUUCUGUAUUUAAGAGACUAAUGAAUGCAGGAGACGAUAACGAGAAGAGUAAUGGACUAAUGGUGAUGGUGGGAUGAGUUAAGUGUGUUGGUGACUUAAUUGGCUAAGUCUGAUCGUUCCUGAGUCGAGGCAGACGGAUAAAGCUCUUAGCUUCUAUCGUAGCAUUCCAGUUCUUGAUCUUGGCGCUUGAGUGAACGAUUUGCGAAAUCACACAUCAAACAUCCGCACGGUGGUGGUGGUUUGCUAAAGAGGCAUGGGAAGAUUAAGUAUAAGUUAUAUGGACUUGAUUUGUCAAGCUUAGUGUGGAAGGAUGUGGCUGAUAGGGUUCAUGAGGCAGAGGAUCGAGGCCAUUUCAUCUCAAGAUGCUAAGCCAAUUACUGGGAAAUGUAGAUUAGUUACUGAGAAAAUAAAUUGUAUUUUGUUGUAGAAGAUUACUUGAAUUACCAUUGAAGCCGAAUUUUUGUUUUUUCUUAAUUUGAGAAUGUCAUCUUGAUUCAAUUUGUAGUAAGAGAUGAUCUUCACCAUUUUAUGA